This 28-nucleotide non-coding RNA is filed under the name Homo sapiens (human). The record is from RNAcentral. Lineage: Eukaryota; Metazoa; Chordata; Mammalia; Primates; Hominidae.
UAGAAUGGAACUGCUGUGUGACCAGAAA